This 307-nucleotide ribosomal RNA is filed under the name uncultured bacterium. RNAcentral describes it as "partial 16S ribosomal RNA". It matches the Rfam family "Bacterial small subunit ribosomal RNA", at positions 506 to 809 of the family's 1533-position model. The record is from RNAcentral.
AGACAGCAGUAGCCGCGGUAAUACAGAGGGUGCGAGCGUUAAUCGGAUUUACUGGGCGUAAAGCGUGCGUAGGCGGCUUCUUAAGUCGGAUGUGAAAUCCCUGAGCUUAACUUAGGAAUUGCAUUCGAUACUGGGAAGCUAGAGUAUGGGAGAGGAUGGUAGAAUUCCAGGUGUAGCGGUGAAAUGCGUAGAGAUCUGGAGGAAUACCGAUGGCGAAGGCAGCCAUCUGGCCUAAUACUGACGCUGAGGUACGAAAGCAUGGGGAGCAAACAGGAUUAGAUACCCGAGUAGUCCCUGUCUCUUAUAA